AUAAACCGGAGGAAGGUGGGGACGACGUCAAGUCAUCAUGGCCCUUACGAGUAGGGCUACACACGUGCUACAAUGGCGCAUACAGAGGGCAGCAAGCUAGCGAUAGUGAGCGAAUCCCAAAAAGUGCGUCGUAGUCCGGAUUGGAGUCUGCAACUCGACUCCAUGAAGUCGGAAUCGCUAGUAAUCGUAGAUCAGAAUGCUACGGUGAAUACGUUCCCGGGCCUUGUACACACCGCCCGUCACACCAUGGGAGUGGGCUGCAAAAGAAGUGGGUAGUUUAACCUUUCGGGGAGGACGCUCACCACUUUGUGGUUCAUGACUGGGGUGAAGUCGUAACAAGGUAGCCCUAGGGGAACCUGGGGCUGGAUCACCUCCUUAU
This 379-nucleotide ribosomal RNA is filed under the name Vibrio crassostreae. Its description in RNAcentral is "bacterial SSU rRNA". It matches the Rfam family "Bacterial small subunit ribosomal RNA", at positions 1158 to 1533 of the family's 1533-position model. Lineage: Bacteria; Pseudomonadati; Pseudomonadota; Gammaproteobacteria; Vibrionales; Vibrionaceae. The record is from RNAcentral.